UAAGUUUUCUGAUCCGAACUCGCAGAGGCACAGAAAAGAUGUCAUUAACAGAGUUUGCGGAUGUUGAUGCGAUCUAAUUGGCAAACCGUUAUCGAUUGAAAUAUUGCGGAAGAUAAAAUUGCCAGCGGCAGCUUUUAGAUCACAACACACAGCCUCUAAAACUGUACGUGCUUCGAGGAAGAUAUCAUACGAGAGGGACCGGAAAGUGGCAAAUGAAGGGCAAAGCCAAGUGUUGUGACCGCACCAACUCCCUACCCGAGACCAUCUCCGCCACCGCCUUCUUGAGCGGCGCAAACAGCUCCGCCACCACCCGCCACCGGAACUGCGACCACCGCACCAGUCGCCGAAGCAGCAGUCCCCGACGCCUGCUGCCCAGCCUCACCGUGCCGCCCCGCCGCCGCCGCGUCCUCCGCAUCCUCCUUCCGCCACCGAAACCCAUCGGCUGCUGCUGCUGUUGCUGCUUCUCCCGCCCCGCGCACCACCGGACGACCGUCAUGCUCCCGAGCUCGCAAGCCACCUUCGCCAUAGUGCGAUGAGACAACGCCGAUGCGGAUCGCUCUUAUAACAAGCGAAGAAGGCUCACCCCGAAUGCUAACAAUGGUUGGUGAUGAUUGUGACAUGAUAGGAUGAGUAAUUAACUGCUGCAGCAGCAGCAGCAGCAGCAGUGAUGAUGAUAAGCUUCGGUCCACGAGUAUCAUAAGGAGAGUGCGAGAUCAAUCAUUAGGAGCAGCUGCCUCACAUGAAACUAUUCCUGCAAAUGGGCACAAACAAAGCAGAAAAGUGUAGAGGAAUCAGAAUGAAAGCAAUAGGAAAUCCAGACUUGUAGCCUACUCUUAUUGUGGUCAGCACAUGAGGCCGCCGAGGUCUUUUGGAUACAUCUCCAUGGCUGGCCACGCAUGCCACUCUUCUUCCUCCUCCCUUUGUCCACUUCCUCAAACUUCAAUCAGACUCCUCUACACUAUUCUAUCACUCAUUUAUGAUUCAUUUGUUCUAAUAUAUGAUACAAAACGAUCCACCUACCAAAGGUUUUGGCUGAGAACUCGAGAUAUUAUGUAAUUAAUUUUAUUUUAAAUGAUUUAUCUGGUUCUCAUACUUAUGAUGAUGUGAUGUAAGAUUUCAGUUGAUAAAAAUCUUAAUGAUUCAUUGUAAGAUUUUAAAUUGGAAUCUCCUCUUUACCAUGGCACAAUCAUUGGAGUGGUGUGAUGAUGAAAGAAGCCAC
Molecule: long non-coding RNA, 1219 nt
Filed under: Musa acuminata (dwarf banana)
Lineage: Eukaryota; Viridiplantae; Streptophyta; Magnoliopsida; Zingiberales; Musaceae
Description: long non-coding RNA (MACU_LNC004895)
Source: RNAcentral